GGAGGGCAAGGAGAAGCUGGGGCCCAAGUGGUACGGAGUGAUGGAGAGAUUCCGUCUUGCCAACCAGCCCGUUCCCCAGAUCCUCCACAUUGACUGGGGAUGCUGCAAGGCACAGGGUCUGACGGAAGUGGAGACUCUGUUCCAGCCUUGGAUGGACAAGGGGGUGGUGGUGGUGAGGCUGUACAUCUUCAUUGGAUUCACCGUUUUGAUGCUGCACUGCGAACCAAGGCCCACUAAAAAUAGGCUGCCUUCAAGUCUGCGCUGGUCGGGGUGUUGCUGGCGUAAAACCGGGAGGACCUCCAGCUCCUCAUUGCAGCUGUCAGGGCCAGAGACCCGGAGGUGGUGACAGACGAGGAUGUGGUCCGGCGUUACAUCUCCUGGGACCAGCUGAAACGCCACGUCCGGCGCGUCACCCUCGGGGCCCAGGAGACGUUUUGCCUCGUCCACCAGGGCUUGACGAGAGUGGCGUCAGCUUCAAGGACCCUACCGCCUUAGAUGAGAUGUGGGCCAGCCCGCAGUGACAACUGGAGUGUGUCCAGGACCCCCCAGGAUCACGUUACCCGCACCACCACCACCACCACCAUCAAUGGUGUGGGCGGACCUGCAUGGGAGCAGCAGCAGCCUGGCGGGGUUCCACAAAUCGUUGCCUCAUAUAAUUCCAGAGAGGUGUGCCCAAGGAUGGGCAACAAAGGAGGCCAAGGCAAGAUGUCCACCCUAACCACAGAUAACAGUGAGCUGAGGGACAAGGCGGCGGCUUAUAACAAAGGUAAUGAUAGCCUUAUGUUGUGCCCGAGACCCUUUGUGCUUGCGGGUUAUUUAUCAAAAGGCCUGAUAAUGUCUGUCUUCAGCUACAAAGAGAAGCCGGUUGCUCACUUCACCGCCAACGGAGGUACAGUGUCUGGGGCUGGUAGAAAACAAUGUUGGAUACAUUAAACAGUAAGCAUGAUGCACUUAACAGAAUGUUUGCUAUGUUCAGUAUGUUUUUCAUGAAUUACGUAUGCUUUCUUUGCUAUAUUUUAGUAUCCUUGUUCGUCACGUGAAGGACAGCGGCCAGCCUGAGAGGAGGGGUAAGGACGAGCGGUGGGUAAAGGAUUACUUACUUCGGUACGUGCAGCUGUUGCCUCCGGUCUCCUGCCAUCAGGACAGGGCCAUCUACAGGCAAGGCCACUUCAGGACGUUCACCUUCCAGGAGAUGUGGCAGUGGUACGGCCUGCACAAGCACCUGCUGGGAGAUCCUGAAGCGCUUCAGGGUGUACACAUUCUUGAGCGAGAGAAACCUCAACAAGACAAGACCCGUCCUACAGCAGCUCCUCCAGCAGCUCCUCCAGCAUGGCCCCCUCCCCUCCAGCACGGCCCCUUCGGCAACCAGAGAGAGGGGUAAAUGGCUAGUGGGUAAAGGACAGCGCCAUCUACAGGCAAGGCCGCUUCAGGUCAUUCACCUUCCAGGAGAUGUGGCAGUGGUACGGCCUGCACAAGUGCUUGCUGGGAGAUCCUGAAGCGCUUCAGGGUGUACAUUCUUGAUCGAGAGGAACCUCAGCAAGACAUGGCCUGUCCUCCAGCACUGCCCCCUCCCCUCCACCACUGCCACCUCC
Molecule: long non-coding RNA, 1592 nt
Organism: Sardina pilchardus (European sardine)
Lineage: Eukaryota; Metazoa; Chordata; Actinopteri; Clupeiformes; Clupeidae
Exons: 5
Source: RefSeq, a predicted model, not a curated record